GACACGCUGGCGGCGUGGAUUAGGCAUGCAAGUCGAACGGUAUCAUCCUUUCGGGGGUGAGAGAGUGGCGAACUGGUGAGUAACACGUAGGUUAUCUACCCUCAAGACGGGGACAACCCAGGGAAACUUGGGCUAAUACCGGAUGUGAGCAACUUUUAGUUGUUUGAAAGGUGGCGUAAGCUGUCGCUUGGGGAUGAGCCUGCGUCCUAUUAGUUAGUUGGUGAGGUAACGGCUCACCUAGGCAAUGAUAGGUAGGUGGCCUUAACGGGUGGUCGCCCACACUGGGAUUGAGAUACGGCCCAGACUCCUACGGGAGGCAGCAGUCGAGAAUAGUCUACAAUGGUCGGAAGACUGAUAGUGCGACGCCGCGUGAACGAUGAAUCCCUUCGGGGUGUAAAGUUCUUUUAUAUGUGAGCAGUGCUUCUUAUAUUAACAGUAUGGGGAGAGAGAUAUUAGCAUAUGAAUAAGCAACGGCUAACUCCGUG
RNAcentral lists this ribosomal RNA (485 nucleotides) under uncultured bacterium. RNAcentral's name for it is "bacterial SSU rRNA". It matches the Rfam family "Bacterial small subunit ribosomal RNA", at positions 33 to 507 of the family's 1533-position model. The record is from RNAcentral.